Molecule: ribosomal RNA, 493 nt
Filed under: uncultured bacterium
Lineage: Bacteria
Description: bacterial SSU rRNA
Rfam family: Bacterial small subunit ribosomal RNA
Source: RNAcentral
UCAGUUGUGAAAGUUUGCGGCUCAACCGUAAAAUUGCAGUUGAUACUGGAUAUCUUGAGUGCAGUUGAGGCAGGCGGAAUUCGUGGUGUAGCGGUGAAAUGCUUAGAUAUCACGAAGAACUCCGAUUGCGAAGGCAGCCUGCUAAGCUGCAACUGACAUUGAGGCUCGAAAGUGUGGGUAUCAAACAGGAUUAGAUACCCUGGUAGUCCACACGGUAAACGAUGAAUACUCGCUGUUUGCGAUAUACGGCAAGCGGCCAAGCGAAAGCGUUAAGUAUUCCACCUGGGGAGUACGCCGGCAACGGUGAAACUCAAAGGAAUUGACGGGGGCCCGCACAAGCGGAGGAACAUGUGGUUUAAUUCGAUGAUACGCGAGGAACCUUACCCGGGCUUAAAUUGCACUCGAAUGAUUCGGAAACGGUUCAGCUAGCAAUAGCGAGUGUGAAGGUGCUGCAUGGUUGUCGUCAGCUCGUGCCGUGAGGUGUCGGCUUAAG